UGACUAAUCCCAACUAAAGUUGUGAUACCUCUAAAACAUAAAUUACGAGUUGGUCAAAGAUGGAUGCUUUGGAUCGUUAGAUCCAGAUCCAAUACCUUCUUAUUAAAAUUGUAUGGAGGCGAAAUGUUCGAAUCUUUAUUCUUUUGGAAAGAAGAAAGAAUCACAAAGUUGUUGAGGUUAAUUCACUUAGAUGUUAGUGGGACUUGUCCACAACAUAAUACUACUCAUGUUAUAUGACAUUCACCGAAGAUCACUCUAGGUUGGACUAUAGUUUAUUUUUGAAUAAACACAAGUCCUGAAUACUUUGCAAAAGGUUUCAAAGAAUUCAAGAAAUGUACGUUGAUGAUUAAGACGUCUAAAGUAUUUACCUCCUUAGAUUUGAUCCAAGGAAAAGUAACACUUUAGAUAAGUUUCCUUGAAAGAUAUCAAGGAAAGAAGCAUCAUAAGAUAAUGAAUUUCUCCAUUAGGAGAAGAACGAACUCGAAUAAUAUUUAGUUCGUUGGAUGUUAUCUAUUGCCCAUAUAUAGGAUAUAUACUUCUAAAACAAUAUGAUUGUAAAUUAGAAGAUCCUUCCAAAAUUUUCAUGACUCCAUAAGAUGUAGUUGGAAAGAAAGACAAAUCUCAAGCAUGUUAAGAUUUGGGGUUGUGUGCUAAUAAGCAAUAUUUGUUUGAUAACAAUCUUGUGGGAUAUCCUUAAAUUAACUUUUGGAUAUCACUUCUAUAAACCAACUAACAAAUGUUGUUUGUUGGAUAGUUCAUUAUAAUCCUACCAUAGGAUUUGCCUAAGAUAGAGCAAAUGAACGAGAGAUAGAACUCAAAUAAUGGGUUCUUUGAGAGACAAGAUGAUAAUCAACAAAUAUAACAACCUAGUUCCUAUACCACAAGCUCCAACGUAGUCAUGAAGGAUUAUAAACCGUCUCAGUUGAAUGGUUUGAACUUUAUGAAUAUGUCAUAGAGUUGCACCUCUUAAUUUGAAGAAAUAAGAAUGAAAAUCCUUAUGACUACAUUGAGUGUAUAUAUAUGAUAUAUACUCAAGGAAAUGGUAAAGUACCAUUUGACCCGAAAUAAUGAAACCUUCAUAAGCUAAUUGGUAGCUUAAGGUAACUACAAUCAAAAGGAUGGUUGACUUUGAAGAAACCAUCUUUGACGUAGUCUUGGUUUCAAUUAAUUCAAAGAUAGCUAGCUACAACUAAAUGGUGAUUCAAUGUUUGGACAUAAUAUGGGUUUCCGAAACCAUUAUUAAGAUAGUCUUAAUAAUAUAUGUCUAAAACUGUGAAUCACAAGACAUGUAAAUUGUAGAGAUCCAUCCAUCAUGAAUCUAAGCAAGCUAGUGGGAGCUAUGAGCAUCUUAUGAG
This 1355-nucleotide long non-coding RNA is filed under the name Malus domestica (apple). RNAcentral's name for it is "long non-coding RNA (MDOM_LNC012792)". The record is from RNAcentral. Lineage: Eukaryota; Viridiplantae; Streptophyta; Magnoliopsida; Rosales; Rosaceae.